RNAcentral lists this ribosomal RNA (499 nucleotides) under Phenoliferia psychrophenolica. Its description in RNAcentral is "partial large subunit ribosomal RNA". It matches the Rfam family "Eukaryotic large subunit ribosomal RNA", at positions 49 to 560 of the family's 3401-position model. Lineage: Eukaryota; Fungi; Basidiomycota; Microbotryomycetes; Kriegeriales; Kriegeriaceae. The record is from RNAcentral.
AGCGGAGGAAAAGAAACUAACAAGGAUUCCCCUAGUAACGGCGAGUGAAGCGGGAAGAGCUCAAAUUUGUAAUCUGGCACCUUCGGUGUCCGAGUUGUAAUCUCGAGAAGUGUUUUCCGCGCCGGACCGCAUACAAGUCUGUUGGAAUGCAGCGUCAUAGUGGUGAGAACCCCGUAACUGAUGCGGAUGCCCGGUGCUUUGUGAUACACUUUCGAAGAGUCGAGUUGUUUGGGAAUGCAGCUCAAAUUGGGUGGUAAAUUCCAUCUAAAGCUAAAUAUUGGCGAGAGACCGAUAGCGAACAAGUACCGUGAGGGAAAGAUGAAAAGCACUUUGGAAAGAGAGUUAACAGUACGUGAAAUUGUUGGAAGGGAAACGCUUGAAGUCAGACUUGCUAUUUGGAAUUCAGCCUCAAGGUGUACUUUUCAAUUCGCAGGCCAGCAUCAGUUUUCGGGGGUGGAAAAGGGUAGAGAGAAGGUAGCAAUUUCGGUUGUGUUAUAGC